This 337-nucleotide unclassified non-coding RNA is filed under the name soil metagenome. RNAcentral describes it as "partial contains 5.8S ribosomal RNA, internal transcribed spacer 2, and large subunit ribosomal RNA". The stretch from base 1 to 120 matches the Rfam family "5.8S ribosomal RNA", at positions 35 to 154 of the family's 154-position model. The record is from RNAcentral.
GAUGAAGAACGUAGCGAAAUGCGAUAAGUAGUGUGAAUUGCAGAAUUCAGUGAAUCAUCGAAUCUUUGAACGCACAUUGCGCCCCUUGGUAUUCCAUGGGGCAUGCCUGUUCGAGCGUCAUUUGUACCUUCAAGCUCUGCUUGGUGUUGGGUGUUUGUCUCGCCUCUGCGUGUAGACUCGCCUUAAAACAAUUGGCAGCCGGCGUAUUGAUUUCGGAGCGCAGUACAUCUCGCGCUUUGCACUCAUAACGACGACGUCCAAAAGUACAUUUUUACUCUCUUGACCUCGGAUCAGGUAGGGAUACCCGCUGAACUUAAGCAUAUCAAUAAGCGGAGGA